GCUCAGGAAAAACGCAAGAGACGUGCCUAACACAUGCAAAUUUAAUGGUUAAUAAAUUUAACCAUAGUGAAUUGGUGAGUAAAAUAUGAAAAUUUAAUUUUAGAUUAGAAGUAUUUCUAAUAACUUAGAAGUAAUCUCUGAUAAGUGCAUAUAUAUGUUACUUUUAAAAAGUUAAUACUGUCUAAAAAAAAGUUCAUACCUGAUUAGCUAGUUAGUAAUAUAAAAAUUUACUAAGGCGAAGAUCAGUAGCUGCCCUGAGAGGGGAACCAGCCACAUUGGGAUUGAAAUACAGCCCAAACUUCUACGGGAGGCUGCAGUGGGGAAUCUUCUGCAAUGAGCGCAAGCUUGACAGAGCGUCGUCACGUGAAGGAAGACAGCUUAUUUUUUAGUUGUAAACUUCUUUUACUUAAAAGUGAAUAUUGACACUUAAGUAAAUAAAGUAUCGGCAAACUCCGUGCCAGCAGCCGCGGUAAAACGGGGGAUACAAGCGUUAUCCGGAAUUACUGGGCGUAAAGCGUAUGUA
This 523-nucleotide ribosomal RNA is filed under the name Eimeria necatrix. RNAcentral's name for it is "bacterial SSU rRNA". It matches the Rfam family "Bacterial small subunit ribosomal RNA", at positions 22 to 573 of the family's 1533-position model. Lineage: Eukaryota; Apicomplexa; Conoidasida; Eucoccidiorida; Eimeriidae. The record is from RNAcentral.